AUUGAACGCUGGCGGCAGGCCUAAUACAUGCAAGUCGAGCGGAUGAACGGAGCUUUCUCCUGGAUUCAGUGGCGGACGGGUGAGUAAUGCCUAGGAAUCUGACUUGCAUUGGGGGAUAACGUUCGUAAACGGGCGCUAAUACCGCAUACGUUCCGAGGGAGAAACUGGGGGUUCUUCGGACCUCACGCCUUUAGAUGAGCCUUGGCUGGAUUAGCUAGUUGGUGUGGUAACGGCAUACCAAGGCGACGAUCCGUAACUGAUCUGCGAGGAUGAUCAGUCACACUGGAACUGAGACACGGUCCAGACUCCUACGGGAGGCAGCAGUAGGGAAUAUUGGACAAUGGGCGAAAGCCUGAUGCAGCCACGCCGCGUGUGUGAAGAAGGUCUUCGGAUUGUAAAGCUCUUUUAUUUGGGAGGAAGAGAAGUAAGUUUAUACCUUGAUGUUUUGACGGUACCAAGUGAGUAAGCACCGGCUAACUUCGUG
Molecule: ribosomal RNA, 484 nt
Filed under: uncultured bacterium
Lineage: Bacteria
Description: partial 16S ribosomal RNA
Rfam family: Bacterial small subunit ribosomal RNA
Source: RNAcentral